Molecule: ribosomal RNA, 862 nt
Filed under: uncultured bacterium
Lineage: Bacteria
Description: bacterial SSU rRNA
Rfam family: Bacterial small subunit ribosomal RNA
Source: RNAcentral
GAUUAACGCUGGCGGCAUGCCUAACACAUGCAAGUCGAACGAAGAUAGCAAUAUCUUAGUGGCGAACGGGUGAGUAACGCGUGAGUAAUCUGCCCUUUAUUACGGAAUAACACAAAGAAAUUUGUGCUAAUACGGUAUGACACAAAGCACCGCAUGAUGCAAUGUUAAAAGAUUUAUCGAUAAAGGAUGAGCUCGCGUCCCAUUAGCUAGUUGGUGAGAUAAUAGCCCACCAAGGCAACGAUGGGUAGCCGGUCUGAGAGGAUGAACGGCCACAUUGGGACUGAGACACGGCCCAGACUCCUACGGGAGGCAGCAGUGGGGAAUAUUGGGCAAUGGAGGAAACUCUGACCCAGCAAUGCCGCGUGAACGAUGAAGGUCUUAUGAUUGUAAAGUUCUUUAGUUUCGAAGGAAUAAAUGACCUAGAAAAGAAUAAGCCCCGGCUAAAUACGUGCCAGCAGCCGCGGUAAUACGUAUGGGGCAAGCGUUAUCCGGAAUGACUGGGUGUAAAGGGUGUGUAGGUGGUUUAGUAAGUUGGGAGUGAAAUACCUAGGGCUUAACUCAGGUGCUGCUUUCAAAACUACUAGACUUGAGUGUAGGAGAGGAAAGUGGAAUUCCUAGUGUAGCGGUGGAAUGCGUAGAUAUUAGGAGGAACAUCAGUGGCGAAGGCGACUUUCUGGACUAUAACUGACACUGAGGCACGAAAGUGUGGGGAGCAAACAGGAUUAGAUACCCUGGUAGUCCACACCGUAAACGAUGGAUACUAGAUGUAGGGAGUAUCAACUCUCUCUGCGUCGUAGCUAACGCAUUAAGUAUCCCACCUGGGGAGUACGACCGCAAGGUUGAAACUCAAAGAAAUUGGCGG